This 60-nucleotide microRNA precursor is filed under the name Patiria miniata (bat star). RNAcentral describes it as "Pmi-Mir-92-o22_pre stem-loop". The record is from RNAcentral. Lineage: Eukaryota; Metazoa; Echinodermata; Asteroidea; Valvatida; Asterinidae.
AGGUCUUGACGAGCGCCAUGUUGUCAUCUUGAGGGUAAUAUUGCACUCGUCCCGGCCUGC